This 466-nucleotide ribosomal RNA is filed under the name Tonkinacris sp. ICCM-2013. RNAcentral's name for it is "partial 16S ribosomal RNA". It matches the Rfam family "Archaeal large subunit ribosomal RNA", at positions 1946 to 2649 of the family's 2987-position model. Lineage: Eukaryota; Metazoa; Arthropoda; Insecta; Orthoptera; Acrididae. The record is from RNAcentral.
CUGGCCUGCUCACUGACGAAGUCUUAAAGAGCCGCGGUAUUUUGACCGUGCAAAGGUAGCAUAAUCAUUAGUCUCUUAAUUAGGGGCUAGAAUGAAUGGCUUGACGAGAAAUCAUCUGUCUCUUAUUAAAUUAUAGAAUUUAACUUUUAAGUUAAAAGGCUUAAAUUUUUCUUAAAGACGAGAAGACCCUAUAGAGCUUAAUAUUUUAUUUUUAUAUAAUUUUUAGUUAAUCUUUUUAUAUUUAAAGUUAAUGUUUUGUUGGGGUGACAUGAAGAAUAAAUAAACUCUUCUUUUUAAAAUCAUUGAUUUAUGUUUAAUGUGAUCCAUAAUUUAUGAUCAUAAGAUUAAGUUACCUUAGGGAUAACAGCGUAAUUGUUUUUGAGAGCUCAUAUUGACAAAGCAGAUUGCGACCUCGAUGUUGGAUUAAGAAUAAUUUUAGGUGCAGUAGCUUAAUAAUUAGGUCUGU